RNAcentral lists this ribosomal RNA (731 nucleotides) under uncultured organism. Its description in RNAcentral is "bacterial SSU rRNA". It matches the Rfam family "Bacterial small subunit ribosomal RNA", at positions 88 to 810 of the family's 1533-position model. The record is from RNAcentral.
GGUGAGAGUGGCGAACGGGUGAGUAACACGUAGGUGAUCUACCCCUGGGGAUGGGGAUAGCCCAUGGAAACAUGGGAUAAUACCUGAUAAGCCCCAUACUUAGCUGUAUGGGGGAAAGGUGCGUAUGCACCGACCUGGGAUGAGCCUGCGGCCCAUUAGCUAGUUGGUGGGGUAAGGGCCUACCAAGGCGACGAUGGGUAGCCAGCCUGAGAGGGUGAACGGCCACACUGGGACUGAGACACGGCCCAGACUCCUACGGGAGGCAGCAGCUAAGAAUCUUCCGCAAUGGGCGAGAGCCUGACGGAGCGACGCCGCGUGGACGAAGAAGGCGGAAACGUUGUAAAGUCCUUUUCUUGGUGAAGAAUAAGGGUGCGAGGAAAUGCGCAUCUGAUGACGUUAGCCAAGGAAUAAGCCCCGGCCAAUUACGUGCCAGCAGCCGCGGUAACACGUAAGGGGCGAGCGUUGUUCGGAUUUAUUGGGCGUAAAGGGCGUGUAGGCGGUUCUGCAAGCCUGGUGUGAAAUAUCCCGGCUUAACCGGGGAGAUGCGCUGGGAACUGCAGGACUUGAGUUCUGGAGGGGAAGCUGGAAUUCCAGGUGUAGGGGUGAAAUCUGUAGAUAUCUGGAAGAACACCGGUGGCGAAGCGAGCUUCUGGCCAGAAACUGACGCUGAGGCGCGAAAGCGUGGGGAGCGAACAGGAUUAGAUACCCUGGUAGUCCACGCUGUAAACGAU